Long non-coding RNA from Cebus imitator (Panamanian white-faced capuchin), 967 nucleotides. RefSeq lists it as uncharacterized. The record is from RefSeq and is a predicted model, not a curated record. The transcript is spliced from 2 exons. NCBI's taxonomy places the organism in Eukaryota, Metazoa, Chordata, Mammalia, Primates, Cebidae.
UUGUGUGCACAUUUUGACCUCCUAAUGAGAUGGUGUAAAAGAAAUAAGUUGAUGUGUUUUUUGAGUUUUGAAUGACUGAGUCCCAUGCUGCUUAGGCGGGGCUGGGCUUUUCUUACCGUCCGCUCACCCUGUUAGACCUGUGCAUCCCUUAGUCAUCUCCCUAUUAAUCUGCCUCUAGUGGUUCCUCGUUAGAACAGUUUAUGAUAUAUAAAGAUUAGGGGCUUGGGGGUUUUAUUGAGACAGGGUCUUGCCAUGUUGCCCAGGCUGGAGACUGGGGAGUUUUGACUGAAAGAAUUAGAUGAUCUUCUCAGUGGCUGUUGCUGGCCGUGAAUUGCUUAAACAUACAUAAAUCUUCAUAAUAAAGUUGUUCUGAUUCUUCAUUUAAAACUUCCUGGUAUAGUUUCUGUAAUUAGUUGUAAUAAGAUUUUAAAGAUCCUGUAAUCCCAGCUGCUUAGAAGGCUGAGACAGGAGGAUCACUUUAGCCCAGGAGUUACAGACCAGCCUGGGCAACAUACUGAGACCCUAUCUCUUUAAAGAAAAAUAACCUGUAAAUGUACCUGUGUAGUUUUCUGAGGUACUUCUAAACACUUCAGUGUUAAUACAUUUUCUUUUAUUUGCUUCAGACUAGGAUGAAAUACAGGGAGAAGAUGGUUCAUUUUAGGAUUCUGAUAAUUAGAAGCUUUUAUUUUCUAAACUGGGGUGCCUAGUUGAAGUGGACCUCCUAAGCCUCCUUUGCCUCUCUGUGGCCUUGCUGUUGUGCUGAAUACAUCCUGUGUCACUAGUUACUCUUUGUCUCUAAAAGGGCUCUUUUGAGGAGAGCUCUUACUCACUAGUCAGCGGGUCUGGCUUAUCCUUUGUACUUGGGAGGACUUUUAGUUUUCCUCUGGUUGACUUUGUGUUAUGAAAAUUUUGGCCUAUCAAAGUACAUUUAUUAAACAAUAAUUUUUCCCAUUGUUACUCAUCAAAA